GCGGGUGUAGCUCAACGGUAGAGUACGAGCUUCCCAAGCUCGGUGUUGCGAGUUCGAUCCUCGUCACCCGCUCCA
This 75-nucleotide transfer RNA is filed under the name Pseudomonadota bacterium. RNAcentral describes it as "Proteobacteria bacterium tRNA-Gly". It matches the Rfam family "tRNA". Rfam says of the family: Transfer RNA (tRNA) molecules are approximately 80 nucleotides in length. Their secondary structure includes four short double-helical elements and three loops (D, anti-codon, and T loops). The record is from RNAcentral. RNAcentral also lists the same sequence under 2 other names. Lineage: Bacteria; Pseudomonadati; Pseudomonadota.